RNA transcript from Rhinopithecus roxellana (golden snub-nosed monkey), 1678 nucleotides. RefSeq lists it as uncharacterized. The record is from RefSeq and is a predicted model, not a curated record. The transcript is spliced from 5 exons. NCBI's taxonomy places the organism in Eukaryota, Metazoa, Chordata, Mammalia, Primates, Cercopithecidae.
GCCACAUAGGCCUGGGGAAAUGUUUUGCCAACGUACUCGCAAUAGUUCCCAUGGUUUCCUUUGCUUCCAGCGGUUGCGCGGGCUUGGUUUUUGGAGCAAAGACAACUGAUACUGCUGAGGCUCCUGAGAAUGUGCCGUUUUCGAAGCUGCAGUAGCUCCAGUGUCCGGUUCUGUAGUACCGAGAGGGAGGCCUCGGGCUCCGGGGAGGAUGUGUUGCAGUUUGUCCAAGAGCCCCAAGGCCAGCAAAGCCUCCCAUUCCCCGCCGGGGAGCAGCUCUCGCUGGAACGCUUGCUCUCUGACUGGGGAAUGGAAUGGGCUCAGCCAAGGCUCCCAAAACCAGCCCUGCUGCUCCCACUUGUGGUCCCAUUCUCAAGAGCUGCUCUCUACGCCGCGGGGCAUCACUUUCGCUUCUGCCUCCUCGUGCGCCUAUUGCGGCAACUACUCACGCUCCUGCGGGACGAGGACAGGGAGGUGAGCCCGUGGCAGAGGUGUACACCUGACCUGGAGGAGGACCAUGGGCAAGACCUGAUCCCAUUGGUGCCCUGCCCUUCCAGCCUGGUACCUUGCCCCUUGAGGCAUAAUCUUUCUGAAAACUGUCCAAAGGACCUGCAUAUUGUUAAGAAGAGCUGCAAAAUGUACCAGAGAGAAAGAUCAGGUGCGAUAUCGGUGCCAUCUUGGCUUCUCCUGGGCUGAAGGUUCAGUCCCUGCUGUCGAUGAAACGGUGCGCCUCCGCAGACUCUGGGCUGCGACCUGCGGUAAUCCCCGGUACCCAAUGGAACCCACGUCCUAAGCAAAAAUAGCCACAAAUCACAGCCUGAUGUAACAGAUUUAUGUGAGCAGCGACCCUAGAACCAGACUGGGUAUCUGAAUCAUGGCUUCACUCACCACCUGCUAGCUGGCUAAUCUGGUGAGCAGUUUAUUCUCAUUUUGCCUUGGUUUAAUACUUUUUUAAAUGGAGAUAACGAUCAUACCUAAAUCAUAGAGGUGUUUUGAGGAUUAAUUGAGGUGCUUAAUUAUACAAUUUCACAAAUGACCAGACCAUGUAGCCUCACAUUUCCUACUUGACUCACUUUCAUAUUUUUUUAUUCACAAGGGAAAGAGAGAGAGUGAUUGUUAUCCUCUGGGAGCAUGUAAUGAAGAUAGAGCAUCUUCUUGUGAGAACAAUACAUGUACCGCGUUUCUAUGUACCUAUAUGUGCUUCCGUCAGGAAGCCUAUGUUGGCUGCUGCAUGUAUGAGCCCUGGGCCAGGAAAUGUGCCAGAAGACUGUGUCUUUCACUCAGCAGAUCGAUUUUCUUUCUUGGCCUAAUAUAUUUUAUUCUUAGAUACCAGAUAAUGUAAUAAACAUUACCAUGUAUUAAGUACCUACUCUGGACCCAACCCAAGAACAAGCCUUAUGAAAGUGAUAAGCAGGGGCACGAUGGUGUAAUUCACAUUUUCAUCAUCAGAUCACUCUGGCUGCUGGGUGGAGAAUGUUUAUAGGAGAAAAAAGGUGAAAGCAGGGAGACAGGACAUGAAUGCAUUAUCCCAGGUUUAAGACGAUAGUGAUUAUCUUAGGCAUGUCAGAGAAAAAAAUUAAAGGUUUGGGAAUGUGUUUCUGAGGUGGGGUCAACAGGAUUUGCUGAUAAAUUGACUAUUUGGAGUUGAAGAAAAAGAAUAAAACAGUCUAUAUGUAACCAA